AGUGAACGCUGGCGGUAGGCCUAACACAUGCAAGUCGAACGGCAGCACAGUAAGAGCUUGCUCUUACGGGUGGCGAGUGGCGGACGGGUGAGGAAUACAUCGGAAUCUACUUUUUCGUGGGGGAUAACGUAGGGAAACUUACGCUAAUACCGCAUACGACCUACGGGUGAAAGCAGGGGAUCUUCGGACCUUGCGCGAUUGAAUGAGCCGAUGUCGGAUUAGCUAGUUGGCGGGGUAAAGGCCCACCAAGGCGACGAUCCGUAGCUGGUCUGAGAGGAUGAUCAGCCACACUGGAACUGAGACACGGUCCCGACUCCUACGGGAGGCAGCAGUGUGGAAUAUUGGACAAUGGGCGCAAGCCUGAUCCAGCCAUACCGCGUGGGUGAAGAAGGCCUUCGGGUUUUAAAGCCCUUUUGUUGGGAAAGAAAAGCAGCAGGUUAAUACCCCGCUGUUCUGACGGUACCCAAAGAAUAAGCACCGGCUAACUUCGUG
RNAcentral lists this ribosomal RNA (492 nucleotides) under uncultured bacterium. RNAcentral describes it as "partial 16S ribosomal RNA". It matches the Rfam family "Bacterial small subunit ribosomal RNA", at positions 29 to 507 of the family's 1533-position model. The record is from RNAcentral.